This is a long non-coding RNA of Mesocricetus auratus (golden hamster), 489 nucleotides long. RefSeq lists it as uncharacterized. The record is from RefSeq and is a predicted model, not a curated record. The transcript is spliced from 5 exons. NCBI's taxonomy places the organism in Eukaryota, Metazoa, Chordata, Mammalia, Rodentia, Cricetidae.
UUGCUCCAUCAGGCUGUUGUCUCAGUGGUUUGGUCUACAGGUCUCUGUGGAACACAUGAUAAUGGUCGUGAGUGACAACUGCCUUUGUGGUGGUUAAGAUCUUCUGUCAGAGGACCCUUCCCCGAGGGAGCUGCUGCCUGUGUUCGCAGGGUUCACACAGUUCUCUUCACUUGGCCAUGGAUUUCCAAUUCCUUUGGAACACGGAAACUAAAGAAUGUCUUUAAAUCUGCGAGAUGAACAUUGAAAAUGCAACUUCAUCAUCUUGAACCACCUACCUCCUCAGCCUGGCUCACAAGAAACAUUCAGUUUGGAGUCAUUGAAUUCAGAAUUCAACCAGAAUCCCACUUCAAAAUGGCACGAGAUUUUCCCAGCUGAACAUUCUACAGUUACGAUGUGUCCACCGAACAUGGAAACCUAAUGUGGAAUUGUCGUGGUUCUCCACAGAAGUAGUUGGCAUAGUCUAUUGUUGAAUGUGUAUGAGAGGAAGGA